RNAcentral lists this ribosomal RNA (668 nucleotides) under bacterium amp-w-83. RNAcentral's name for it is "bacterial SSU rRNA". It matches the Rfam family "Bacterial small subunit ribosomal RNA", at positions 52 to 716 of the family's 1533-position model. The record is from RNAcentral.
CACAUGCAGUCGAGCGGUAGAGAGAAGCUUGCUUCUCUUGAGAGCGGCGGACGGGUGAGUAAUACCUAGGAAUCUGCCUGAUAGUGGGGGAUAACGUUCGGAAACGGACGCUAAUACCGCAUACGUCCUACGGGAGAAAGCAGGGGACCUUCGGGCCUUGCGCUAUCAGAUGAGCCUAGGUCGGAUUAGCUAGUUGGUGAGGUAAUGGCUCACCAAGGCUACGAUCCGUAACUGGUCUGAGAGGAUGAUCAGUCACACUGGAACUGAGACACGGUCCAGACUCCUACGGGAGGCAGCAGUGGGGAAUAUUGGACAAUGGGCGAAAGCCUGAUCCAGCCAUGCCGCGUGUGUGAAGAAGGUCUUCGGAUUGUAAAGCACUUUAAGUUGGGAGGAAGGGCAUUAACCUAAUACGUUAGUGUUUUGACGUUACCGACAGAAUAAGCACCGGCUAACUCUGUGCCAGCAGCCGCGGUAAUACAGAGGGUGCAAGCGUUAAUCGGAAUUACUGGGCGUAAAGCGCGCGUAGGUGGUUUGUUAAGUUGAAUGUGAAAUCCCCGGGCUCAACCUGGGAACUGCAUCCAAAACUGGCAAGCUAGAGUAUGGUAGAGGGUAGUGGAAUUUCCUGUGUAGCGGUGAAAUGCGUAGAUAUAGGAAGGAACACCAGUGGC